CGCAGUGUAGCAUAGUGGUAAGGCACAGGGCUCGUAACCAAAAGGUUGCUGGUUCAAUUCCUCACUGGGG
RNAcentral lists this transfer RNA (70 nucleotides) under Megalops atlanticus (tarpon). RNAcentral's name for it is "tRNA-OTHER". Lineage: Eukaryota; Metazoa; Chordata; Actinopteri; Elopiformes; Megalopidae. The record is from RNAcentral.